This is an unclassified non-coding RNA of Callithrix jacchus (white-tufted-ear marmoset), 281 nucleotides long. It matches the Rfam family "Metazoan signal recognition particle RNA". From Rfam's summary of the family: The signal recognition particle (SRP) is a universally conserved ribonucleoprotein. It is involved in the co-translational targeting of proteins to membranes. The eukaryotic SRP consists of a 300-nucleotide 7S RNA and six proteins: SRPs 72, 68, 54, 19, 14, and 9. NCBI's taxonomy places the organism in Eukaryota, Metazoa, Chordata, Mammalia, Primates, Cebidae. The record is from Ensembl.
GUUUGUGUCCCAGCUACUCCAGGAGGCUGAGGUGGGAAAAUCGCUUGAGCCCAGGAGUUCUGGGCUGUAGUGCGCUAUACCGACGGGGUGUCCGCACUAAGUGUGGCAUCAAUAUGGUGACAUCCCGGGAGCGGGGGACCACCAGGUUGCCUAAGGAGGAGUGAACCAGCCCAGGUCAUAAACGGAGCACUUCAAAACUCCCAUGCUGAUCAGUAGUGGGAUUACGCCUGUGACUAGCCACUGCACUCCAGCCUGGGCAACAUAGUGAGACCCUGUCUCUU